UACGUAGGGUGCAAGCGUUGUCCGGAAUCAUUGGGCGUAAAGCGCGCGUAGGUGGCUUCGUAAGUCCGUUGUGAAAGUCAAAGGCUCAACCUUUGAAUGCCGAUGGAUACUGCGAAGCUAGAGUACGGAAGAGGCGAGUGGAAUUCCUGGUGUAGCGGUGGAAUGCGCAGAUAUCAGGAGGAACACCGAUGGCGAAGGCAGCUCGCUGGAACGUAACUGACGCUGAGACGCGAAAGCGUGGGGAGCAAACAGG
RNAcentral lists this ribosomal RNA (253 nucleotides) under uncultured bacterium. RNAcentral's name for it is "partial 16S ribosomal RNA". It matches the Rfam family "Bacterial small subunit ribosomal RNA", at positions 524 to 776 of the family's 1533-position model. The record is from RNAcentral.